RNAcentral lists this ribosomal RNA (407 nucleotides) under Verrucomicrobiota bacterium. RNAcentral describes it as "Verrucomicrobia bacterium partial 16S ribosomal RNA". It matches the Rfam family "Bacterial small subunit ribosomal RNA", at positions 355 to 776 of the family's 1533-position model. The record is from RNAcentral. Lineage: Bacteria; Pseudomonadati; Verrucomicrobiota.
UGGGGAAUAUUGGACAAUGGAGGAAACUCUGAUCCAGCAAUUCUGUGUGUGUGAAGAAGGUUUUAGGACUGUAAAACACUUUUAGUAGGGAAGAAAAAAAUGACGGUACCUACAGAAGAAGCAACGGCUAAAUACGUGCCAGCAGCCGCGGUAAUACGUAUGUUGCGAGCGUUAUCCGGAAUUAUUGGGCUUAAAGGGCAUCUAGGCGGUAAGACAAGUUGAAGGUGAAAACCUGUGGCUCAACCAUAGGCUUGCCUACAAAACUGUUGAACUAGAGUACUGGAAAGGUGGGUGGAACUAAACGAGUAGAGGUGAAAUUCGUAGAUAUGUGUAGGAAUGCCGAUGAUGAAGAUAACUCACUGGGCAGAAACUGACGCUGAAGUGCGAAAGCGAGGGGAGCAAACAGG